Molecule: microRNA, 22 nt
Filed under: Ornithorhynchus anatinus (platypus)
Lineage: Eukaryota; Metazoa; Chordata; Mammalia; Monotremata; Ornithorhynchidae
Description: oan-miR-1420b-3p
Source: miRBase by way of RNAcentral
AAAGUGCCACCUGACUGGAUGA